Non-coding RNA from Lysinibacillus sp. F5, 100 nucleotides. The record is from Rfam. NCBI's taxonomy places the organism in Bacteria, Bacillati, Bacillota, Bacilli, Caryophanales, Bacillaceae.
AGCUAAAGUAAAUAUUUGAUCUGUAUAACCUCAAUAAUAUGGAUUGAGGGUCUCUACCAGGAACCAUAAAAUCCUGACUACAAAACUUUGCUUCAUUUUU